RNAcentral lists this unclassified non-coding RNA (307 nucleotides) under Hevea brasiliensis (rubber tree). Lineage: Eukaryota; Viridiplantae; Streptophyta; Magnoliopsida; Malpighiales; Euphorbiaceae. The record is from RNAcentral.
GUGAGGUUGACCAUUUGGAGGUCCUUGGUGCCGGAAUUGGAGGCGAAGGUGUGGGGGCGGGUGCGGAUGUCGAAGAUGUAGGGCUUCUGGAGCCAGGGGAUUAGGAAGUGGGUACCCUCGCCGACAGAGACAUCGAGAACACCGCGGAAGCGGUCGAAGAUGACUGCGCGCUGGCCGCCGUCGACGGUGUAGAGGGAGGAGGAGAGGAGGGUGGCGCCGGCGCCGAGGCCAAGGGCGGCGCGGGCGAUGUUAGUGAGGAGCGAGACGGCAGCUUGGGGGUUAGAGGCCAUCGGAACCCUAGAAAUUG